This 513-nucleotide ribosomal RNA is filed under the name uncultured bacterium. Its description in RNAcentral is "bacterial SSU rRNA". It matches the Rfam family "Bacterial small subunit ribosomal RNA", at positions 26 to 518 of the family's 1533-position model. The record is from RNAcentral.
AGAACGAACGCUGGCGGCGUGCUUAACACAUGCAAGUCGAACGCGAAAGGGACUUCGGUCCUGAGUAAAGUGGCGCACGGGUGAGUAACGCGUAGAUAACCUGUCUUCAUGUCUGGAAUAAUACGCCGAAAGGGGUACUAAUACCGGAUAUUCUUGCUUUUCAUAAGUUAUGCAAGCAAAGGUGGCCUCUGCAUAUGCUACUGCAUGAAGAGGGGUCUGCGUACCAUUAGCUAGUAGGUGGGGUAAUGGCCUACCUAGGCGACGAUGGUUAGCGGGUCUGAGAGGAUGAUCCGCCACACUGGCACUGGAACACGGGCCAGACUCCUACGGGAGGCAGCAGUGAGGAAUAUUGCGCAAUGGGGGAAACCCUGACGCAGCGACGCCGCGUGAAGUGAGGAAGGCCUUCGGGUCGUAAAGCUCUGUCAAGAGGAAAGAAGUGUACAAUGGCUAAUACCCGUUGUAUUUGACGGUACCUCUAAAGGAAGCACCGGCUAACUCCGUGCCAGCCGCCGC